UGACACAUGGAUUAUACAAAAGAAGAGUUUUUAUCACAAAUGGUCCCUGACAUUGAUCAAACUCCUCAUUUUGAUCCCUGAGUUUCAAAAAUCAAUAAAUUUGGUCUCUAACUUUCACAAUCGCACAUCAAUAGAGUCCUUCCAUUAAAAUUUCGUCAAUAUUUUUGUUAGUGUGCUGAUGUGGUCCCACUAGUCCAAUCAUAUGGCACCAAGUGGAUUAACUAUAAGAAACUAAUUUUUUUUAGAGUGAACCAACUGGCGAUUAUUCUGCACUGACAUUUCUCUCACAUCCCAGAAUCCCAAUUGGAAAAUAAAAUAUAAUUUAAUUCGAUAAAAUCGAAUCCAAAUUCAAUUCAAAUUUGAUAGGAUUAUAACCAAUUAGAGAGAAUGAGAAGUGAGUUCACGGAGGACAAGAGCUUUAGUGAUGUCACGGUGCGUUCCUUUUCCUUUUUAGCAUACCUAGAUGAAGACGAUGAUGUCUUUUUUUGUUUUUCCUUUUAGUUUUAGUUUUUAAUUUCUUAUAGUACUUUUAGUUUCAAAUCUUAAUUUUUUUUUAUAAUUAAUCCAUGUGGCGCCAUAUGGUUGGACCAGUGUGAUCAUAUUAUCACACUAACAAAAAAUAUUGACAAAAUUUUAAUGGAAUGACUAAAUUGAUGUGCAGUAGUGAAAGUCAGAGACCAAAUUUAUUGAUUUUUGAAACUCAGGGACCAAAAUAAGGAUAUUGAUCAAUGUCAGGGACCAUUUGUGAUAAAAAUCUUUCUUUUGUGUAAUCCAUGUGUCACUAUUUUAUAAGAUUUGUGGGUUCCACAUGCAAACUAACAGAAAUAGUUGACGAAAUUUAAACGGAAUGACCAAAUUGAUGUGCGGUGGUGAAUGUCAGGGACGACAUUAAUUGAUUUUGAAAGUGAGGGAUCAAAAUGAUGAGUUUGGUCAAUCUCAUGAAUCAUUGGUGAUAAAAACCCUUUUAGUUAUAACCCUCCUUCUAUGACCUCUAUUUUUGGUUGUCUAGUUAGAGUUUAGAUGGAUGCUUGAAGGCUAAGCCAAGCCCACUAAGAUAUAGUAAGAUAGAGAUUAAUAUAAUUCAUCUCCUCAUUGGGUGGAUUGUCUUUACUUGAAAUGAAUUAAAUAAAAAAAUGAAGUAAAUAAAACUAACACAAUGCAUAAACCAUAAUUGAACAUAGGACCUCAACUGCAAAAGUAAAUACUUUUAACUACUUCAAUAGUUUGAGUACAAGUCCAUUGCAGAACCUAUCAUUAUAUAAUAGUACUACUGAUUAGUAGAUAAAUAAUAAGUAUUAACCUUAAAGAGGAAAACAAACGUCAUUAGAUAGUGUAGUACUACAUCAUCUCUUAAUUAUUUAUAAAUAUAAGAAGAGCUUAGCCCAUGUUAUAUAAAACCAUGCCUCUGGAACUGCGAAUUACUACAUACACUUACGGUGCAUGCAUAUAUGCAUGACUUACUAAUAUUUCUAUACUUGAUCAUUCAAUCUUCUUCUUCUUCUUCUUCUUCACUCUCAAUUCCGCGACGACCAUGCGUGUUGCCAAUGUUGAAAACUCCAUUGCCGUCUCCUUUGUUUCCACUGACUCGGUUCCCAGAAACGUUGUAAGACGUACCACUUGUGCCGCUUUUCCCAUUUUUACCCUUUUUGGCCUUGGGACGUCGAGCGGGCGGCGGUGUUGAAUACCAAUUGCUAGAGUAUCCAUAAGUAGAUGGACGCUGAGGCUGAGGUUGAGGUUGAGGAGUGUAGUAGUUCAACCAUAUAUAUGUUGAGAAUUGAAUACUGCACGGGAAAAUUGAAUGAUCUUGCAUGUGCUUAUGAGGAGUUAAGCUAUUCUUUAUAUUUGUCAAUUACUUUGAUUGUGGAACCUUGACUUCAUGGUGUCGAAGCAGGUUACUCACGUGUUGAGCCUACAUUUCACGUGCUUCUACGUCACCUAACAUGUGUUAGGUUACACAUAUUGAUUUUUCUAUUAUACAUCAUAACAUAAACUCGUCACCUAUCCAUCAUAUUAUACAUUUACUAAAACCCAGUUCCAUUGGCAUUGUUUUUCACUAUUCGUGAACAGUGAAAUGUCGAAAAAGCCCUCGGCUACUUCAUGCUUUACCGUUCUAUUUGGCUUUUUAGCAUAGUGAAUUCUUGGUUUUGCCCAUGCUACUCACCUUCAGUAUUUUUCUGUGUGUUCCACAGCCUCUGAUGUGCACGUGUUUGUCAUCGUUGGGAAGGGAAAAGCUCUCGGCUUUUCCAUUGGUUUCCUGGAGAAUCUCUUAGUUGUCUCUUAGAAUCGCGAACCACUCCAUUCGACAGCAUCUCAUCCCUCUUCCUCCUUCAGACAACAUAUCCCUCUAGGCUCCUCCUUCCAUCCUCCUCCUAAGUUGGCCAGCUUCUCCUCCGCUCAUUCUCCUAUGUAUUUUUUUCAUCUUUAUUUUUCCUCAAAUCCCUCUUGCAUUUACCAAUUACCACGUAUAAAUGUAACAUAAUCUCUACUUUCUCGCAUAUCCUUCUUUUUGUUUUCUCCCAGAAGGAAUCAACGCAGCCAACCUCUACCCAUUAGCUACCGCUGCUUACUCGCAAGGCCAUAGGCCACGAAGCUUCGAAUUCAGGGUAGUACCUUGUGGUGGUGAGCACAUGGCCCUUCGCAGAGGCUGUCAGAGCAUCUUGGCGGGUUGUGGAUAAUGAGUUCUUCGUCGUGGAUUCCGUUGUUGAGGAUUGCCCGACUUGCGAGGAACUCAGAUGUGAUGAUACAGUUGGGCGUAGUGGGAGUUCAGAUGAGAACGGAGAAACUACAUUCGAUACUCUGGUCAUGGAUGGCGUAAGUAGCAUUCACGUCAUGCAAGUGAUCAACAAGAAGUAGGGACACCUACCAUAGUGGGCACAACUUAUGAGACUUGGAAUGACGACUGCUUCUUCUUCUUCCAGAUGAUCCCCUGUUUAAUGGUCGUGAGUUUGAAAAUCUUUGGCAAUGAUUUCAAAACAAAGAAAAUAUUUGUUGUUAGUUUCCAUCCACAAUUAAUGAAGGUUUGUUAUAAUUUUUUUCCUUGGUUAGAUAUGUUCUAAUGCUAUGUUUUCCAUUGCACAA
Pyrus x bretschneideri (Chinese white pear) is the source of this 3078-nucleotide long non-coding RNA. RefSeq lists it as uncharacterized. The record is from RefSeq and is a predicted model, not a curated record. The transcript has 4 exons. Lineage: Eukaryota; Viridiplantae; Streptophyta; Magnoliopsida; Rosales; Rosaceae.